UUGAUGAAGUGACUGAACGAGGUUCCAGGAAAAGCCACUAAGCUUCAGCUACACACGACCGUACCGCAAACCGACACUGGUGCGCGAGAUGAGUAUUCUAAGGCGCUUGAGAGAACUCAGGAGAAGGAACUCGGCAAAUUGACACUGUAACUUCGGAAGAAGGUGUGCCCCAUUAGUGUGAAGUGAACAACGGAGCAUGAAUGGGUUGCAAAAAAUCGGUGGCUGCGACUGUUUAUUAAAAACACAGCACUCUGCAAACACGAAAGUGGACGUAUAGGGUGUGACGCCUGCCCGGUGCUGGAAGAUUAAAUGAUGGGGUGCAAGCUCUUGAUUGAAGUCCCAGUAAACGGCGGCCGUAACUAUAACGGUCCUAAGGUAGCGAAAUUCCUUGUCGGGUAAGUUCCGACCUGCACGAAUGGCGUAACGAUGGCCACACUGUCUCCUCCUGAGACUCAGCGAAGUUGAAAUGUUUGUGAUGAUGCAAUCUCCCCGCGGAAAGACGGAAAGACCCCAUGAACCUUUACUGUAGCUUUGUAUUGGACUUUGAACAGAUCUGUGUAGGAUAGGUGGGAGGCUUUGAAGCAGGGUCGCUAGAUCUUGUGGAGCCAACGUUGAAAUACCACCCUGGUGUGUUUGAGGUUCUAACCUAGGUCCAUUAUCUGGAUCGGGGACAGUGCAUGGUAGGCAGUUUGACUGGGGCGGUCUCCUCCCAAAGCGUAACGGAGGAGUUCGAAGGUACGCUAGUUACGGUCGGACAUCGUGACGAUAGUGCAAUGGCAUAAGCGUGCUUAACUGCGAGACUGACAAGUCGAGCAGAUGCGAAAGCAGGACAUAGUGAUCCGGUGGUUCUGUAUGGAGGGGCCAUCGCUCAACGGAUAAAAGGUACUCUGGGGAUAACAGGCUGAUACCGCCCAAGAGUUCAUAUCGACGGCGGUGUUUGGCACCUCGAUGUCGGCUCAUCUCAUCCUGGGGCUGUAGCCGGUCCCAAGGGUAUGGCUGUUCGCCAUUUAAAGAGGUACGUGAGCUGGGUUUAAAACGUCGUGAGACAGUUUGGUCCCUAUCUUCCGUGGGCGCUGCGGAUUUGAGGAAGCCUGCUCCUAGUACGAGAGGACCGGAGUGGACACACCUCUGGUGUAUCGGUUGUCACGCCAGUGGCAUUGCCGAGUAGCUAAGUGUGGAAGAGAUAACCGCUGAAAGCAUCUAAGCGGGAAACUCGUUUCAAGAUGAGAUCUGCCGGGGCCUUGAGCCCCCUAAAGAGUCGUUCAAGACCAGGACGUUGAUAGGUCAGGUGUGGAAGCGCAGUAAUGCGUUAAGCUAACUGAUACUAAUUGCUCGUGCGGCUUGACCCC
This 1349-nucleotide ribosomal RNA is filed under the name metagenome. RNAcentral describes it as "bacterial LSU rRNA". It matches the Rfam family "Bacterial large subunit ribosomal RNA", at positions 1582 to 2925 of the family's 2925-position model. The record is from RNAcentral.